CCUACGGGUGGCUGCAGUAGGGAAUAUUGCUCAAUGGGGGAAACCCUGAAGCAGCAACGCCGCGUGGAGGAUGAAGGUCUUAGGAUUGUAAACUUCUUUUGUGAGAGAAGAUAAUGACGGUAUCUCACGAAUAAGCACCGGCUAACUCCGGGCCAGCAGCCGCGGUAAUACGGAGGGUGCAAGCGUUACUCGGAAUCACUGGGCGUAAAGAGUGCGCAGGCGGGCAUUUAAGCCGGCAGUCAAAUGUCGGGGCUCAACCCCGGCCUGCGGUCGGAACUGGGUGCCUUGAGUGGGCGAGAAGUAUGCGGAAUGCGUGGUGUAGCGGUGAAAUGCAUAGAUAUCACGCAGAACCCCGAUUGCGAAGGCAGCAUACCGGCGCCCUACUGACGCUGAGGCACGAAAGUGCGGGUAUCGAACAGGAUUAGAUACCCCAGUAGUC
RNAcentral lists this ribosomal RNA (439 nucleotides) under uncultured bacterium. Its description in RNAcentral is "partial 16S ribosomal RNA". It matches the Rfam family "Bacterial small subunit ribosomal RNA", at positions 338 to 795 of the family's 1533-position model. The record is from RNAcentral.